GGGGCUGAUUUUGGUUUCGACUGCGUGCAUUAAGCUAGGGGAAGCGUGCCGGUGCAGGCUAGAGACCACCGAUUUUAAGCGUCGUAGCAAAUAUAAUAAGCGCAGAGAACACUCAGCGCGACUACGCCCUCGCUGCCUAAUUUGCAGCGACCUGCGUGUCUGUCAGCCUAGAUUCGUCUCUGGUUUAGUGUCUGGCAUCGAUUAAGAGACUUGCUGGUUUGUUGUGUCAACGGGGCAAACCGGGACUUUCACCGAUGACUGGGCUCAUCAUCCGGGUGUGUUCGUCCAAGCCGGAGAGCCGAGUAGAGAUCCACGCGCGAACUGCGCACGGAGAAGCCCUAGCGAGGUGACGUAGGACCCGGGUUCAAUUCCCGGCAGCUCCACCA
RNAcentral lists this transfer-messenger RNA (386 nucleotides) under Corynebacterium diphtheriae. RNAcentral's name for it is "Standard tmRNA". It matches the Rfam family "transfer-messenger RNA". Rfam says of the family: Bacterial tmRNA, also known as 10Sa RNA or SsrA, is named for its dual tRNA and mRNA-like properties. Its role is to liberate the mRNA from a stalled ribosome. RNAcentral also lists the same sequence under 1 other name. Lineage: Bacteria; Bacillati; Actinomycetota; Actinomycetes; Mycobacteriales; Corynebacteriaceae. The record is from RNAcentral.